GGGGGUGUAGCUCAGUGGUAGAGCGCGUGCUUCGCAUGCACGAGGCCCUGGGUUCAAUCCCCAGCACCUCCA
Molecule: transfer RNA, 72 nt
Filed under: Cavia porcellus (domestic guinea pig)
Lineage: Eukaryota; Metazoa; Chordata; Mammalia; Rodentia; Caviidae
Description: tRNA-Ala (CGC) (tRNA-Ala-CGC-1-1)
Rfam family: tRNA
About the family: Transfer RNA (tRNA) molecules are approximately 80 nucleotides in length. Their secondary structure includes four short double-helical elements and three loops (D, anti-codon, and T loops).
Source: Rfam by way of RNAcentral